RNAcentral lists this ribosomal RNA (497 nucleotides) under uncultured bacterium. RNAcentral describes it as "partial 16S ribosomal RNA". It matches the Rfam family "Bacterial small subunit ribosomal RNA", at positions 28 to 507 of the family's 1533-position model. The record is from RNAcentral.
GAUGAACGCUGGCGGCGUGCCUAAUACAUGCAAGUCGAGCGAACAGAUAACGAGCUUGCUCCUUUGACGUUAGCGGCGGACGGGUGAGUAACACGUGGGUAACCUACCUAUAAGACUGGAAUAACUCCGGGAAACCGGGGCUAAUGCCGGAUAACAUUUAGAACCGCAUGGUUCUAAAGUGAAAGAUGGUUUUGCUAUCACUUAUAGAUGGACCCGCGCCGUAUUAGCUAGUUGGUAAGGUAACGGCUUACCAAGGCAACGAUACGUAGCCGACCUGAGAGGGUGAUCGGCCACACUGGAACUGAGACACGGUCCAGACUCCUACGGGAGGCAGCAGUAGGGAAUCUUCCGCAAUGGGCGAAAGCCUGACGGAGCAACGCCGCGUGAGUGAUGAAGGUCUUCGGAUCGUAAAACUCUGUUAUUAGGGAAGAACAAAUGUGUAAGUAACUGUGCACGUCUUGACGGUACCUAAUCAGAAAGCCACGGCUAACUACGUG